This is a non-coding RNA of Schistosoma haematobium, 45 nucleotides long. The record is from Rfam. NCBI's taxonomy places the organism in Eukaryota, Metazoa, Platyhelminthes, Trematoda, Strigeidida, Schistosomatidae.
AUCUAGUUGAUGAGUUUUAAAUAGGACGAAACUAGAGUCCUGGAU